CAAAUGGAAAGGCGUAAUUCAGAUGGAAAGUUAAUUGCAGAUCCCAGAAGACGUUUCCAAUGGCUGUGAGUUCUCAGGGCUAAAUGGAACCUCCUUAUCCAGAGGCAGUCUAUCCCUAAAGAUUAGAGAGCCCCAUUGCUUUCAUCCCAUCCCCAGGAGCUUCCUGGAGACUCCUCAUUGAUCCCAGGUGGCAAAGGGAGGAUGGGUCUUGGCGUCACCCAUUAAGACCUCAUCCGAACCCUUCUCCCAUCUGCUCCACAGAGGGUGGCCCGAAAAAUCCUUGGAAGCCAGUUUUUGAACCCGAGAUUAUGGAUAGCGGUUUAUAGCACCUGUGAGCCUUCAUCACACUUGCUGGUGGUGAUGAAUCUUUUGAUCCACCAAGAUUAACACACAGGUUUGGAAAGGCUGACUAGGUAGACCUGUAUUUCUUCAUUUCCAGUCAUCGAACCGUGAAAGUUGGGUUAAAGUGCAGAAUUCCACAUUCUGAAGUUUCCAGGAUUCUCCUUUCUUCUGUUCACAUCUCAGGCCCUUUCCAGGCGAAUCUCUCCAACUCAGCCCAACUGUUACUCAUGUUGUGACUCUCAAACAUGAAACGAAAAUAGUUUGGCCUGCUUCCUCUAUACCACUGUUAAGGUUCUGAAUAGCGUUCACGAGACUUUGUCCAGACAGUGGGCAGAUUUCAGCCAAGCUGACCAGUCCAUGAACUCUCUUACCCUCCUUCUACUCGCCAUGCCCCUUGAGAAGAUGCGUGUGGGCAGUUAGCCCUUGGCAAAGAAAGUUCUGUGACACUGUUGGAGAAACUUUCUGAGCAAGGUAAGAAAAUAUACUUGCACAGCUGGCCCUCGGCAAAAAAACUUUUUUGAAAAUAUCUGCCAAAUGAGCCAGAAGAUGCCCCUGCCUCUGUGUGCCAGCUGCGUGCCAACCGUAAACACCACUCAAUUGCUCUGCAAUCACGUGGAAUAAGGGAGCAGAGUCCACAACCUUUGGAAUCGAGAUUUUCAAGAUGAUCUUUGAAAGCAGUGGACGUGAAAAGGGAAAAGUAAGGUUGAUUUACUUCGUUUUUAUGCUGGCAUCGUGAAUUAACUCCACAGAAGCGACCCAAACACUUCCAGAUGUGGGGGAGACCCACCCAGAGCCAUGGCGUAGAUCAUCUCAGUGCUCAGCGGCACGAGGAUUCCAUUGGUCUUGGUGAUGAAGAAGUCCAGCACGGCCAUGAGCGAGGAGCAGUAAUUCUGGCGAGGAAAGAAAUGUAUGCCACAUAUGCAAACAGGCACGCACAGGUGCAAGCCAAGGGGAGGACAUAAACGCACACCCGGACACAACCCGUUCCUUCAUUACGCAGAAGAAAAGACAUUUCCUUUGACUUCUGCAAGCUUUCCUGACCUUGCUGGUAUUGCUGGCUAUAGGAAUGUGAUGAGUAAAUAAAGAAAUAAAUAUU
Python bivittatus (Burmese python) is the source of this 1438-nucleotide long non-coding RNA. RefSeq lists it as uncharacterized. NCBI's taxonomy places the organism in Eukaryota, Metazoa, Chordata, Lepidosauria, Squamata, Pythonidae. The record is from RefSeq and is a predicted model, not a curated record.